Non-coding RNA from Phrynosoma platyrhinos (Desert horned lizard), 72 nucleotides. Lineage: Eukaryota; Metazoa; Chordata; Lepidosauria; Squamata; Phrynosomatidae. The record is from the annotation of a GenBank genome assembly.
CCCAAUAUGGCAUAGUGGUUUGAGCAUUAGAUUACGACUCUGGAGACCAGGGUUCAAAUCCCAGCUCAGCCA